AUUGAACGCUGGCGGCAUGCCUUACACAUGCAAGUCGAACGGCAGCACGGGGGCAACCCUGGUGGCGAGUGGCGAACGGGUGAGUAAUACAUCGGAACGUGUCCAGUCGUGGGGGAUAACCAGUCGAAGGAUUGGCUAAUACCGCAUGCGCCCGAAAGGGGAAAGCGGGGGACCCGAGGGUAACUUCGGGCCUCGCGCGAUUGGAGCGGCCGAUGUCCGAUUAGCUAGUUGGCGGGGUAACGCCCACCAAGGCGACGAUCGGUAGCUGGUCUGAGAGGACGAUCAGCCACACCGGAACUGAGACACGGUCCGGACUCCUACGGGAGGCAGCAGUGGGGAAUAUUGGACAAUGGGCGCAAGCCUGAUCCAGCAAUUCCGCGUGUGUGAAGAAGGCCU
RNAcentral lists this ribosomal RNA (396 nucleotides) under uncultured bacterium. RNAcentral's name for it is "bacterial SSU rRNA". It matches the Rfam family "Bacterial small subunit ribosomal RNA", at positions 29 to 417 of the family's 1533-position model. The record is from RNAcentral.